UUUCAUUUCGCAUAGCAAAUGCAGAGGAGAUGCCUCUGUUAACAGCACACUUUUAUUUUGCAGCUCCUCAGGCUGAUGGAGUCAGGGAGGAAGUGGUUUAUCAACAGCACAGGAUAUCUGAAGGGAACAGAACGUAUCCAGACAUGCCCCAGAUUGUCUACCCAUGGGGACUGAGAUACCUCUGAGAUUUACAUCAGAAAGGAAGGAGAGGCUGUUUCUACAGGUGCCACAGAAAAAUCGAUGCAGAGCCACCGAUUAUUGGAUCCCAUAGAACUGUGGAGACUUGGCAGUGAAAUUCUUCCAAAGGCAGAGGUGUUCCUGGUUUGGGAAGUAUAAAUCCCGUGGGAAGCCAACUGGAGGACAUUUUAUGCAUCACUCAUCCUAUUAUGAGCCUGCUGCUCUUCUGUCUCUUGACAAGAUUGACUGAAAGGAAUCUUUGCUCAAAUUUGGGUCACGUAGACAGUAUUCUAUUCUGAUUAUACCCCUGUUCUGUGCAAGGCCACCGACUAGAAGGGCACAGAAUUAUUCAUAAAACAGCUGAAUGUGAAUGUCUUUGGAUUCCCAUUUAAUGAGACUCCCUGCCUCUUCUGUUUCUCAUCGAUGCUUCCUUGUAUACCGGUUGGCAGCUAAAGGACAGGAGCAGCAAUAAGGCUUCCUAGGGACAUUUUCAUGGUGCCACCAACUGCGAGUUAAGCUGACAAACAUUUUGAGAGCUCGGCCCAUUUCAUUCCCAGCAGGAUGGCAGGAGUUAACUAAAACAGAAUAAACUAAAAAUUGUGCCUUCAUUGCAAAUUUGAACUGAUUCUCAGCACUGAAAAUGGCUAAGUUCUGCUCAGCAAGCGGGUGACUGAUUGUCCCUGCCAGCUGGCUAAUAUCAUAAUUAGCAAAGUUGCUACCACAUCUGCAAAGUUUAAUCGAAAAAUUUACCAGUGGUAUGAUGGCAUUGUCACCAUGAUCCUAAGGGAAUCGGAGUCGACUUCUGCUUCAAGAGGAAUGGCAAGGCUGUAGAGCUGAGAUGAGAAACUGUAAACUUGCUCAGCCAAAGAUAACUUGUUACUAGCAUUCAGAUAUGCUUACAUAGGAUCCCUAACACAAUCAACCACAAAGGAUUAUAGUUGCUCUAGGAACCACACCCUGGUGAAGGAGAAGGCUGAAGCCCUGAUCCACAACAGGAACUUGCCUUCCAAGAAAACAGCCCCCUGCUGACUGGGCCAACUCAUAGCUCCACUGACAUGGUUACCUCCUAGUUUUUGUUUCCUCACGUCUAUGAAAGUAUAAUAUCACAAGAAGCAAGGCUUGCAAAAUCCCUGGGCAUCCUGAAAGCCAAUGUCAUAAACAGACAGCUUAUGGUCUGUUUACUGCCAGAUUCCUUUUCAAACUAAUCUGAAAUGCAAUGCAUAGGCCUCUAUGUGCUCUAGUGAAGAAGAAAGACAAGGACUGAAUGACGUCUGGCAGGAUUGCCCUACAUACGAUGUCAGCCUCAUGACACGGGCUCUGUGAGAUCUGUUUGAAAGGGAAGAGCUAAACAGAGUCAUGAGUCUGAUCCUACAGAGCAACGAAAACUUCCUCCGCUGCACUGAAUCAUAGAUACAACCAAGCAGUGCAUUUGUUAAGAAAAAUAUGGAAAUGCAGGCUUUUCUGGCCUCUCUCCCCGUUUCAUCAUGGUGUGUCAGGAGUACAUGAGGUGCUGAUGAGACGUUAUGCUUCGCAUCACCCACCAGGGAGGAUCAUCUCUCAUGAAAACUUUCAAAUUUGAUUUUGAAAAUUUAUUCAGAAAAAUUUAAGCCAUGCUCUUUCCCAACACAGGAAAUAAUAUGCUCCAGAGAAUCCUCUAAUUCACCGAAAAUGGACUUGGAUAACAUUUGGGUUCUCAUACUACCACAGUCCUCUUGAGAAGGACAGGCAGGAGGCUAAUAAUGAAGGGGCCAGGGAAAGAGGCCAAUGCUACAGGGUUAUCUCCUAACCUCAGAUGUUGGAUAAGUCCACGGAAACAGCAGCGCUUCAGGAUGGCUUCAGAAAGGCUGGAGUGAUUGUUUGGAAGAGAAAAACCUGCCUAUUCAUUCAAAGGUACAUGAAUGUUGUCGAGACUGUCCCAUCUAAAGAAUCCUGCCUUAGACAAAGGAUGCGCUUGGAGCCUCACCACACCUAAAACCACGCUUUGAAGGGUCUGCCAAGCUCACUUUUAAUCAUGAGAAAGAAAUUACCCACAUGGAGACAGCAGAAAAUGAGAAAGUAGAGAUCGUGCUGCGAAUAAUUCCAGCGAGUGCCAAGGGGCUAGUUGAGGAAUGGCUUCA
This is a long non-coding RNA of Mus pahari (shrew mouse), 2294 nucleotides long. RefSeq lists it as uncharacterized. The record is from RefSeq and is a predicted model, not a curated record. Lineage: Eukaryota; Metazoa; Chordata; Mammalia; Rodentia; Muridae. The transcript has 12 exons.